RNAcentral lists this ribosomal RNA (349 nucleotides) under uncultured bacterium. Its description in RNAcentral is "bacterial SSU rRNA". It matches the Rfam family "Bacterial small subunit ribosomal RNA", at positions 72 to 422 of the family's 1533-position model. The record is from RNAcentral.
CAGGCCCGCAAGGGUGCUGACGAGUGGCGGACGGGUGAGGAAUACAUCGGAAUUUGCCCAGUCGUGGGGGAUAACGUAGGGAAACUUACGCUAAUACCGCAUACGACCUAACGGUGAAAGCGGGGGAUCAGCAAUGACCUCGCGCGGAUGGAUAAGCCGAUGUCGGAUUAGCUAGUUGGCGGGGUAAAGGCCCACCAAGGCGACGAUCCGUAGCUGGUCUGAGAGGAUGAUCAGCCACACUGGGACUGAGACACGGCCCAGACUCCUACGGGAGGCAGCAGUGGGGAAUAUUGGACAAUGGGGGCAACCCUGAUCCAGCAAUGCCGCGUGUGUGAAGAAGGCCUUCGGG